This 253-nucleotide ribosomal RNA is filed under the name uncultured bacterium. RNAcentral describes it as "partial 16S ribosomal RNA". It matches the Rfam family "Bacterial small subunit ribosomal RNA", at positions 524 to 776 of the family's 1533-position model. The record is from RNAcentral.
UACGAAGGGGGCUAGCGUUGCUCGGAAUCACUGGGCGUAAAGCGCACGUAGGCGGACUCUUAAGUCGGUGGUGAAAUCCUGGAGCUCAACUCCAGAACUGCCUUCGAUACUGAGAGUCUCGAGUCCGGGAGAGGUGAGUGGAACUGCGAGUGUAGAGGUGAAAUUCGUAGAUAUUCGCAAGAACACCAGUGGCGAAGGCGGCUCACUGGCCCGGUACUGACGCUGAGGUGCGAAAGAGUGGGGAGCAAACAGG